GACGAACGCUGGCGGCGUGCUUAACACAUGCAAGUCGAACGGAAAGGCCCUGCUUUUGUGGGGUGCUCGAGUGGCGAACGGGUGAGUAACACGUGAGUAACCUGCCCUUGACUUUGGGAUAACUUCAGGAAACUGGGGCUAAUACCGGAUAGGAGCUCCUGCUGCAUGGUGGGGGUUGGAAAGUUUCGGCGGUUGGGGAUGGACUCGCGGCUUAUCAGCUUGUUGGUGGGGUAGUGGCUUACCAAGGCUUUGACGGGUAGCCGGCCUGAGAGGGUGACCGGCCACAUUGGGACGGAGAUACGGCCCAGACCCCUACGGGAGGCAGCAGAGGGGAAUAUUGCACAAUGGGCGGAAGCCUGAUGCAGCAACGCCGCGUGCGGGAUGACGGCCUUCUGUUUGUAAACCGCUUUCGCCUGUGACGAAGCGUGAGUGACGGUAAUGGGUAAAGAAGCACCGGCUAACUACGUG
This 468-nucleotide ribosomal RNA is filed under the name uncultured bacterium. Its description in RNAcentral is "partial 16S ribosomal RNA". It matches the Rfam family "Bacterial small subunit ribosomal RNA", at positions 28 to 507 of the family's 1533-position model. The record is from RNAcentral.